AUUGAACGCUGGCGGAAUGCUUUACACAUGCAAGUCGAGCGGCAGCGCGGGGCAACCUGGCGGCGAGCGGCGAACGGGUGAGUAAUGUAUCGGAACGUAUCCUUAAGUGGGGGACAACUAGUCGAAAGACUAGCUAAUACCGCAUACGAUCGAGAGAUGAAAGUGGGGGACCGCAAGGCCUCACGCUUUUGGAGCGGCCGAUAUCCGAUUAGCUUGUUGGUGAGGUAAAGGCUUACCAAGGCUAUGAUCGGUAGCUGGUCUGAGAGGAUGAUCAGCCACACUGGGACUGAGACACGGCCCAGACUCCUACGGGAGGCAGCAGUGGGGAAUUUUGGACAAUGGGGGCAACCCUGAUCCAGCCAUUCCGCGUGAGUGAAGAAGGCCUUCGGGUUGUAAAGCUCUUUUGUCGGGGACGAAACGGUUUCACCUAAUACGUGAGACUACUGACGGUACCCGAAGAAUAAGCACCGGCUAACUACGUG
RNAcentral lists this ribosomal RNA (482 nucleotides) under uncultured bacterium. Its description in RNAcentral is "bacterial SSU rRNA". It matches the Rfam family "Bacterial small subunit ribosomal RNA", at positions 30 to 507 of the family's 1533-position model. The record is from RNAcentral.